Suricata suricatta (meerkat) is the source of this 1804-nucleotide long non-coding RNA. RefSeq lists it as uncharacterized. NCBI's taxonomy places the organism in Eukaryota, Metazoa, Chordata, Mammalia, Carnivora, Herpestidae. The transcript is spliced from 3 exons. The record is from RefSeq and is a predicted model, not a curated record.
GUGGAGCCUGGAGGUGGCAGAGUGGUGGGUCCAGCACAUUCCUCAAGGUGAAGGCCAGGCAGCACUGGAUCACUGAGGUGUAUGCAAGACACAGGCAGCCUGCCUCCCUGGGAAGCCAGGGAAGGUGGGCACAGCGCAGGGACCACCAGCUCUUUGCUGCCUGCGCCCUUCGCACCCAUUUACCAGACUCUAGACUCUGCUGAGUUUUGGGGUGGUUUCUUGGCGUGAUGGGGGCCAUCCAGAACUGAGCCACAAAGCAGGAAGCCACGGAGGGUCAUUUAACAAACUCCUCCAUUCCGGCCCCAGGAUUAACAGGUGUUGAAAGAUGUGGCAGGUGUGAAAACAGAGGCUCAGACGGGGCCAGGCACCCAGCUGUGAGUCUGAAGCUGGGAGUCCGAGCUUCCCUGGGACUCCUGACCUGUUCCCCAAGCUGCCUGCUCCUUACCCCAGAGAUGUCACAGCCCACAUGUGCGAUGCCAAGCCUCUGGUCCCAGAUGGACGGAGGGUGCCCCGUGGGAGGCUGGAUCUUUGUGCCUGAUGGAAGUAACACUAGCCUGCUGUCUACAGCCCCAUUCUCCUGAGCUGACUCCUGAGGCCAUAACCCACUCAGGGGGGUGGGGACCGGAGGUUACACCCCGGCUCCAUCAGGUCGCAGGGUGGACAUGGGCCCGGUGGCCAUCGGGGAGCAGGGGUGGGACAGGCAGGGCUGGUGGGAAAAGAAAACCUUAACUACCGACCAUCCUGACUGCACUGUGGUUGGACUUGACUUCUGGAUUGUUCCACGGAGACCCUAAUGGCCAGAUUUGGUCAGUAAGCCUGGGCUGCAGAAAGAGCACUGUGAAAUUCAGAGAACAAGGGCCCGAUUCUCCUGGCAUGAGUGGCCUCCCUCGCCCGGCGUCGGGUUCUGCGCCUUCCAGUGACUAAGGAGGAAAUUCUGUCACACAUACUGCGGCCCUGCAUCAUUCACGCCCGCCUUUGCUAUUGGAAUGUUGUGCCUGCCUCAUCUUUCUGGAAUUUGCCUUUUUUUUUCUCCUUUUUCUGGGUAAUAUGUGGAGGCCACCCAGUGGAACACAGCCCAGAUUUGGUCUUCCUGCCUGGUUGUCUCCGGGCAUCCUGGGCCCCGUACUUUCCAGACGGUCAGUGCUUAUGACUCGGUCCUUGGGACUCAUGCAGGCUUUCGUGUCCCCCUGUUCCACAGGGCCCCACACCCAGUUCUCAACCCCUGGUGAGACCUCUGGGUAAACACUCCUGUCAUCUGGACCUUGAGAUUGGCUCUCUCGGACUGCCAGUUUCCUGGUGUGCUUCCGUAGGUGGGAGAGGUGUCUGGCCUGCCGUGGCAGGGGGGCCGCUGUCAAAAGGAGGAGAAGCAGGCCACCAUCUCCAGUUGGGAGAGGGGACAGCACAUUCUGAGGAGAUGCUGUCUGCCUCUCCCCACCGCCCACGGCUUCAGACCCAGCCUCCUCUGCUGUCCCUGCCCAGGCUGCUCGCCCUGCCCCUCUACUGCUGGGCACUCUGGCUCCAGUGUGCUCCCGCGCGUGGGUCCGUCUCUCCCAGGAGUCUGGGAGCCUGUCCGCUGGGAGGACCAGGUUUGCGCCCACGUUGUGUCUGAGAGCCAGGGGCCAGCCCACGUUUGCUGGUGGACAAAGACCCUCUGCCCAGCCGAGCCCUCUUGCGUGCAGGGCGCAUCUCCUCCCCUCUCUCUGCUGGGCAACAGGAGGCCCGCUGGCCACUGACUCCUCACUCAUCCUGCUGUGUCCCUGCAGCCCAGAUUGGGUGCUGGGUCUCCACCCAGGCACCCCUGUAU